AAGGCGGCAUAGCCAAGUGGUAAGGCAGGAGUCUGCAAAAUUCCCACCCCCGGUUCAAAUCCGGUGCCGCCUUA
RNAcentral lists this transfer RNA (74 nucleotides) under Coleofasciculaceae cyanobacterium SM2_1_6. Its description in RNAcentral is "tRNA-Cys". It matches the Rfam family "tRNA". Rfam says of the family: Transfer RNA (tRNA) molecules are approximately 80 nucleotides in length. Their secondary structure includes four short double-helical elements and three loops (D, anti-codon, and T loops). The record is from RNAcentral. Lineage: Bacteria; Bacillati; Cyanobacteriota; Cyanophyceae; Coleofasciculales; Coleofasciculaceae.